Molecule: long non-coding RNA, 1702 nt
Filed under: Lynx pardinus (Iberian lynx)
Lineage: Eukaryota; Metazoa; Chordata; Mammalia; Carnivora; Felidae
Source: RNAcentral
GCGGCCCCGAGGGGCGGCGCCGCGAAUUUGAGGGGCUUGUGGUCGUUGUCCUUCUGGAAGGUUGAAGAUGCUCGCGCCCCUGUCCCCUACUUUAAAGCUCCGUCCCGUGGCGAUACUGUCAGUCACGUGAUCAAGGUUAGGGGCUGAGACCGAGUCCCGCAGCGGCGCGUGUGUUUGCGCCCCGGUUCCCGCACGCCGGGAGCUUUGGGGCAGGACGCUCCCCGGCUCGGUUUCCUCCAGCCCGGAGCGGGCGAGAGGUACGGCGCUUGUCACGCCGUGGGCUGCGCUACACAGCACCUGCAGAAAAGAAACUCUGCGUUCGGUAGUCAAAACAAAACACCCCAGUCCAGGUAUUGGGUUACUGAGAUCCCAUCAGGACAUUUCUAAAUCAAGGUAAUUGAGAAACAAAUGCUAAGUCAUUUGUUAUGAAGCCUAUUUAUUCGUGGAAGAUUUUGUACAUUAGAUUAUCACAAUUCUACAAAGGACGUGGUUUGCUAGAGUUUUCACGUAAAGACCUUAUGCAUGCAGUGGGAUAUUAAAGCCUUAUAUCGUUUUUAUCCCAUUAGGGAAAAUGUGCCUCGUCAAGCAGGUAAAAGAAGUCUGGCCAGAUUUGCCUUUGUGUCCUGAAAUCACUGGUGGAGUUCCUACUUGUUGGAUGCCUGUCUCCACUCUCUGAUGCCACCUCUCUCUACCCGGUCUUUUCUGGAGACAAGAGCAGCCAGUGCGGAUUCCCUCAGCCCUCUUCCACGAUUGUCAGCAGCUGGAGACGCUCUUUGUCUCAAGAGAGCUGCCCAGAACUGCAGUCUUGGUACGUUCACCCCAGGGAGGUGCCCCGACAACACCCCCCCCCCCCGCAUAUGGGGCAGGAAGAUCCUAGGGAUGUUACUGUCUCCUCCAAACUCAAGUUUCAGUUCAAUUUGACCACCUUUCCCUACCCCAGCUCCUGCCCAAUUUCUUUCUCCUCUCCUGUCUUGUUUGAAUCUCUGGAUUCUGGCCUCUUGCCUUGGAGGCUCUCCUGGUUUACCUCCUGGCAAGACCUCUGGACACAGAUUUUGGUCUACAGAUUGUAAUGCUACCAUCGUGUAGGUCCUCUUGUUUGGCAUGACUUUCUUUCCUUUUUUUUUUAUUGUUUAUUUUUUAUUUUGAGAGAGAAAAGCACAAGUGGGGCAGGGGCAAAGAGGGAGAGAGAAUACCAAGCAGGCUCCACACUGCCAUCACAGAGCCCGACGUGGGGCUAGAACUCACAAACUGAGAUGAUGACCCAAGCCAAAACGAAGACCGUCUCCUAACCAACUGACCCACCCAGGUGCCCCUGGCAUGACUAAUUCAGUUUUGUUGUGCCUUUAUUUAAAGGAAUGUUCUGAAAGCGUUGUUGUGUAUUGCUCAGGCUGUUUCCACUUCAGGGCUUAGCCCACCUCCUCUUGUGGCGGAUCAUUAACUAGUGUUAAUGAUCAGCCUCUUUACCUGAAUCUUCUCCCCUCCAUGCAGUAAUCACGGUUACUUCCCAACAGAGUCCCUUUUUCCUCCACCCCCACUGCCAUAGACUAACCUACUUAUCAGCCUCCAAAUUCUGCCCUUCUGGUUUGACUUUAGGAGUCAGUGGGGGAACGGGCAAAUCCUGUUUCACAGAAAGCACACACACAGUGAAGAUCAUAUGCAGGACAGCAAAUCAGAGAACGAGAGAAAAGACACUGGUCUUUCA